ACGCUCGACACCUACGGGAGGCAGCAGUGGGGAAUAUUGGGCAAUGGAGGCAACUCUGACCCAGCAACGCCGCGUGAGUGAUGAAGGUCUUCGGAUUGUAAAACUCUUUAAGUAGGGACGAAGAAAGUGACGGUACCUACAGAAUAAGCCUCGGCUAACUACGUGUCAGCAGCCGCGGUAAUCUGAGCGGGCUGGCAAGGC
RNAcentral lists this ribosomal RNA (201 nucleotides) under uncultured bacterium. RNAcentral's name for it is "partial 16S ribosomal RNA". It matches the Rfam family "Bacterial small subunit ribosomal RNA", at positions 328 to 539 of the family's 1533-position model. The record is from RNAcentral.